This 4729-nucleotide long non-coding RNA is filed under the name Sus scrofa (pig). RNAcentral describes it as "lncRNA (ENSSSCG00050023208.1)". Lineage: Eukaryota; Metazoa; Chordata; Mammalia; Artiodactyla; Suidae. The record is from RNAcentral.
UUUUUUUUUUUUUUUUUUUUUGCCUUUUCUGUUAGACUAGAAACUGUUGGAGGGCAGGACUAGUGUAUGUCAUAUUCUCACUGUGUGUCUAGUAUCCACCACAGUGACUGGCUUAUAAUAGCUGCUGUUAAAUAAAUAUUUGUAGAACCACAUGAUUAAAUUGGUACUGAUUCCUUAUUGGUGUUUGCUCACAAGAUGAUUUUGAGCACUUCUUUGAAAUACUGCCCCUUUAUCCUUAAAUAUAUAUAUAUAUUUUUUCUGCUCAGCCCAGCCAUCUAGCAUCAAGUAAGUAACCUCAUAGACGAGCGACUUGGUUGUAUAAUUAGAGUGAAAGCCUUUUUCUUAGACUUACUGAGUCAUUAGACCUGUUAAAUCACUUGCUAACUUCAGAUGAAUGUUGGGAAGAAGUCUUACCUGUAGUUCAUAAAAUAGGUGGUUAAGGAUGUGAACUUAAGCUAAGCCUUUGUUUGUAGAGUGAAGAAGGACUUUCCUCUAGCUCAGCCACCCUAUUUCUUCUUCCCUUUCUGAACCUGUAUUGCACUUAGAAUCAAUUUGUCACUCUAAUUGCUCUCUAAUUAUGCUAUGUGCAAGUCUCAGCUUCUUACCUCAAGUCACCUCUUUUGAAGGAAUAGGAGCAGGUUUCAUACCCCAUUUAUUUUCAUCACAGUGCAUACUAUCAUAAAUAAUGAAUAAGCCCUGGCUCAGCUAAGACAUCUUCCUUCUUUCUUUUACUCCAAGCAUUUGAUGUAGUGCUAACUUAAAAGAAUCAAUGAAUACACAUUUUAUUUUAUUUUAUUUUUAAAUCUUUUUUAGGGCCACAGCUGCAGCACAUGAAAGUUCCCAGGCCAGAGGCCAAAUUGGAGCUGCAGCUGCAGGUCUAGGCCACAGCCACAGCAGCGCCAGAUCUGAGCUGAGUCUGUGACCUACACCACAGCUCACAGCAACUCAGGAUCCUUAACUCACUGAGCGGAGCCAGGGAUCGAACCCUCGUCCUCAUAGAUAACUAGCCAGGUUUGUUUCCACUGAGCCAUGAUGGAAACUCCCAGGGAGGGGGUAUUUUAAAACACGUAGUUGAAAUUUGUGUCACAUGGUUUUUCUGUGAGUGUACAUAUACACUGUCUCGCAACAGUGUGAUUGUAAAAAUUGUGAAAUGUGAAUUGUAAGAAAAUGUAGGUGGGGGUUUGUGCUGUGCCAUACACAAAUUGGGUUCACAUCUACUUUUUUUUUUUUUUUUUUAAUGUCCUUAACCCACUGUGCUAGGUCAGGUACCAAACCUGCGUCUCAGACAGUGUUGAGUUCUUAACUCACUGAGCCAUAAUGGGAACCCCCAUAAUGGUAGUGUUUUUUUGUACCCUGAGGAAUAAUGCAUAACCUGUUUUUUACCCUGUGAUAUAACUUGAAAAGGAGUUGAGUAAACACAAGAAUGCACGUGGUCUUUUUUGUUUUUGGCUGUCCAGUGUCAUGCACAAGUUCCCGGGGCAGGGAAGGAACCUGUACCACAGCUGUAACCAGAGCCAGCAUCAAGUCCUUAACCCAUUGAACCACAAGGGAACUCCACAAGUGAUCUUUUCAAUAAAUGCUUUGAGUUCAUCUGACCGGGAAAAGCUAGUAGUCAAGGCCAGAACAUGAUUGGAAGAACCUGAAGCUUUAGAUACACAUUUUUGUUACUCAGAGUUUGUUUUCAAAGAACUUUAUGUUGACAUACUUUAAGUGAUUUAGCCUCUAGGAAAGGUGUAAGGUCCAUGGGGGAGUAUUUUUCCUUUUGCUGAUGAAGAAAACUACAGAUUCACGUAAUUGCUUGCCCCAAGCCACAGAACUAUUAGUCUGUCAAAGAAUGAACUGGGGCCCUGAGUUUCUGAUGGAGCGCACUUCCCAUGCUGUAGCCCUUCGGUCCCUCUCUUCCGGAAUUAUUACCCCAGGUUGGUUUGCUCUGAGGCCCCCUGGUUUGUGGUUUGUGCUUUAUGGCACCUUGUUUGUAAAGAUUUGUUUUAGUUUUUCACUUUUAUAGCCUUGGCAGCAUGAAAGGAUUUCAGGUAGAGGUAAAUUGUCCAGUGUCUUAUCUAAAUUGCAUUGAACAUUUUUUUUUGUUUGUUUGUUUGUCUUUUUGCCUUUUCCAGGGCUGAUCCCACGGCAUAUGGAGAUUCCCAGGCUAGGGGUCUAAUCAGAGCUGUAGCUGCUGGCCUACACCAGAGCCACAGCAAUGCAGGAUCUGAGCCUCAUCUGUGACCUAUACCACAGCUCCGGCAACGCCGGAUACUAAACCCACUGAGCAAGGCCAGGGAUCGAACCCUCAACCUCAUGGUUCCUAGUUGGAUUCGUUAACCACUGAGCCAUGACGGGAACUCCUGCAUUGAAUUCUUGAUAAAGAUCUUUUGAUUCCAUUUAUUGUAUUAGUGUGAUGGCUGUUGUGUGUGUGUGUGUCAGAUUAGGAUUGGAUCCUGUGUGAAAUGAAUUUUGAAUCAGACUGAGGAGAAAGGAUGAAUGAAGGCCACAUGGGUUUCAGAACAGAUGUUCUACAAAUAGGUUCAUUGUUGCAGGCUUUUUUUCAUUGAAAACAUUGCAAGGUGUCCAUAAAAACUUCUUGUGGACGUUUCACCCACUCCUCCUCCUUGUAUCUCUGAAGGCUCAGGCUAAUUGCAUCAUUUUCAGGGUAUUUUUGAAGAACAGAAGUGAUUUCAUUGUUUUGCCUGCAGGCUGGAAUGAUAACACUGCAGGGCGUGGUUCUCCUUAUGUAACAGUUCCCAUUGUUACUUUCUUAUUUGAAAGGUAGGUUUUCAAAGGUGAAACUGCACCCUUUAUAUUUAAAAGAAGGCAUUGGCCAGAUUUUCACUAGUGAUCAGAACCAUGGAAAUUAGACCUAAUGUAAUUUGACGUGGAUUGCAGAAUUAAAGAAUCUUGAGGCAGAAGGAAACAAUCACAUACAGCCACAACCCACAAUAUGCAGCAUGCUUGCCCCUGUGGCAGUGUCUGGAGAUGCAGAGAUGUGGACGGUUGAGAUUCCUGUGCUUACAAAGUUGACUUAGUGGGAAAACGGGGCAUUGAUUACAUCUCAUCCUCCUGAUAAAUGAUGCCAAUCUGGGAAACUCACUUAUUUCCAAGUUUGCCCUUACGUUGCUCUUGCCCCUAAUUCUGUUCUCAAGUGUAAUCAGUGGUGUGCUAGCUAAUGGUUAGCAACCUGCUCUAGGCAGGGAGCGCCUGAUUUGUCGUGUUUGCCAAUUUCCAUUAUGUAAAUACUCCUACCUUGGCAAUAUUAAAUAACUGGUGUGGUGCUGAACACAAGAUUGGGAAGAGUUGUGUACCAUUGGCUUUUUGGUGUUAGUUAACACAGGGGCUCCUGCCACCACUGAACUCCACAUACAGUAAAUUAUCAUGACCGAUGAUGUAAUAACCAUAAACGAGGGUGGAUAAUGGUUCAUUGGGAACAGGAGUUUUAAAAGCUCUUUUAUACACAGUAUCUUUUUUAAGCAUAGUGAUAACACUGAGAAAUAAGUGCUAUUACCCCUCCCCAGGUUAAUCCAGCCUCUAUUCCCCAACACUAAAUUCUCAACCUCAUUGUAGUUAUCUCUACGUAACCACAAAAGGUUAUCCAAAUAUUUGGAGUAGAGUUGCUUGUAAGUGGCAGAUGUCAGAUUCAAACCCAUGUCUUUCUGAUCCCAGGAUGUGCACUUAUAAUCAAUGUGAAAUACAAAAUAUGUAAAAUUAAAAGCUAAUUGUGAAAAUUGAGCAGGGCCCUGUGGGGCUCCAGGGCACAGAAACCCUUCUGUGUUCCCUAUUUCUUGUCUGUAGGCUUCCUUCAGCCUCCUAGACCUUCCCUGAGUUCUAAAGGGUAGGUUCAAACCAUUGGUAAUCAGGGAAGGGCAGGGAUGCAGAGACAAAGGAGAAUAGUCAAACUACAAUAGUGCAGCCUUGGGAAAAGAUCCUGGUUCCCCCUUGGGAUACAGACAGCGAUAUCAUAAAGCUUUUCUGUAGAACUAAAACCCCCAACAAAAGGAAGGUGUUAACUUCUUAAUGAAACAUUUUCCUUCCAGAAGGAAAGGUCAUGGCAAGAUAACCUUAAGGACCACCAGAACCAGUCCCAGGCUACUAAACACCAGCUUUGGAGAAGAAUGCAAGCUUGCCUCUACCCUGAUUCUUAUCUGUGACCGUAUUUUCCGUCCCAAACUAUAAGACCCCUUCUUAUUCUCUCUCAAGGGAGGGCACAGUCUUUUGGGCAAUAAAUAAAUAAGGAUGGCUGUGCUCUCCUUUAUCUGGCAAGGCAAUAAAAGCUACUCAUUUCUACUUCACACAAAACUGUCUCCGGUUCGUAUUCAGCAUCUGUGAACAGAGGCCAGGUUUUUGCAACCAUUGAAUUUCAUCUAAGCUCUCUCCUUUCUGGUUGUAAGCAUCCAUAACCCAAAUGAAAUAGUUCAUUCAUUGAUUCAGUUUGCAGAGCAUCUGUGCAUGUUUGGUGUUGUCGGACAUACUCAUGUUGCAUAUGUGAACAAAACAGUAAAAACGAGAGUUGCCGGCUUGGCUCAGAGGGUUAAGAAUCAUGAGGAUGCAGGUUCCAUCCCUGGCCUCGCUCAGUGGGUUAAGGAUCUGGCAUUGCUGUGAGCUGCAGUGCAGGUCUCUGAUGCAGUUCUGAUCCUGUUUUGCUGUGCCUGUGGCAUAGACAGCAGUUGUAGUUCCAAUUUGACCCCUAGCCUGGAAAUUUCCAUAUGCCAUAGGUGUGGCCUUAAAAAGAAAAAAA